CUCACAGCCGUUUGGGUGAUUAAUGGCAAAAACAGCUUUUGCCAUGCAGUAGAAUCCUGGAGACUCCUGAAGCCAAGGCAGACCUGACAAGACCUGAGAUAACCACUUCGGGAGACAUAAAGGGGGGAAAAAAAUGUCCUAAUAAAGCAGAAGAACUAAUAAUGGACUCAGGAUAUUUGUUCCAAUUGCCCUGAAUUUUGUUUGGAGCACAGCAUCAUCCGAAGAGACAUUUAUGGACUAAGGCAGCUGAAUAUCAGGUCUGCCUGUCAUGUUUCGAUCAAAAUAGAUGGAGAAGGGAAGCAAUGUGAACAAAGGAUAAAAAAGAAGGAUGGAGACAGCACAAGGCAUCAAACAAGACUGUUAUUUCACACCUUUUUUUCCUACUUUUUAUUUACUUUCAGUGGGCUCCUGUCACAAGGCAGCAGGUGUGCUUCGCAAGCAGGGAGAUGCUACGUGCCUUAGCAAAACUGAAGGGGAAGACAUAUUCUAUCACUUUACUUUUAUAUAUCAAAUCUACAGCUGAAUAGAGAAAAUAUAGCUAAAAACAGGCCAGCUUGAAGAUACCCACCCAAAAGCUUUGCAGAACACUGAAAGAAAACAAAGGAAGGACUGAUGUCUGCUGAUGCCCAAGCAGAAGAGAUCAGAGCUGUGAGCAAGGUAAGGGAUCAGAGCAUGAGGGUGGCUCCUCUGGGCCAAUGCACUGUCUAUUGGAAAUGAAUAACAUGAGUAUUUCAGUGGAUGAGGGCAAGGCAGGUGAGUAGCAAUCCAAGCCCAACCAUGUCCUUGCAGCUCCAAUGACUUUGUAGCUUUCUGACCUUGCACUUCACAGUCCACAGUUAUAUUCUCCAUAAUUUUAUUCAACUGCUCUUUCAACCCAUCAGAAAGUUUGGUGCCCAAAACAUCCAAACAUCUGACAAUGAUCUCCAUGGUUUAACAGUACACCAACUGAAGAUACAUAGCCUAUUCUUGCCACAUGAUAUCUCACAUCUGAUGAUUCAUAUUUUAAAAGACAGGCAGCAAAGACAAGAGGGCAUCCACGGAAGGUUAGAAAUGGGGUCUGAAAAGAGC
This 1068-nucleotide long non-coding RNA is filed under the name Coturnix japonica (Japanese quail). RNAcentral describes it as "lncRNA (ENSCJPG00005006768.1)". Lineage: Eukaryota; Metazoa; Chordata; Aves; Galliformes; Phasianidae. The record is from RNAcentral.